AUACGUAGGGUGCGAGCGUUGUCCGGAAUUACUGGGCGUAAAGAGCUCGUAGGUGGUUUGUCGCGUCGUCUGUGAAAUUCCGGGGCUUAACUCCGGGCGUGCAGGCGAUACGGGCAUAACUUGAGUACUGUAGGGGAGACUGGAAUUCCUGGUGUAGCGGUGAAAUGCGCAGAUAUCAGGAGGAACACCGGUGGCGAAGGCGGGUCUCUGGGCAGUAACUGGCGCUGAGGAGCGAAAGCAUGGGUAGCUAACAGGAUUAGAUACCCUGGUAGUCCAUGCCGUAAACGGUGGGCGCUAGGUGUAGGGGUCUUCCACGACUUCUGUGCCGUAGCUAACGCAUUAAGCGCCCCGCCUGGGGAGUACGGCCGCGAGGCUAAAACUCAAAGGAAUUGACGGGG
RNAcentral lists this ribosomal RNA (398 nucleotides) under uncultured bacterium. RNAcentral's name for it is "partial 16S ribosomal RNA". It matches the Rfam family "Bacterial small subunit ribosomal RNA", at positions 523 to 918 of the family's 1533-position model. The record is from RNAcentral.